UUGGGAAUAUUGGACAAUGGGAGAAAUCCUGAUCCAGCAAUGCCGCGUGAAUGAUGAAGGCCUUCGGGUCGUAAAGUUCUUUUAGCGGGGAAGAAGGGAAACUUGACGGUACCCGCAGAAAAAGCACCGGCUAACUACGUGCCAGCAGCCGCGGUAAUACGUAGGGUGCAAGCGUUGUUCGGAAUCAUUGGGCGUAAAGCGCGUGUAGGCGGUUUCCUAAGUCUGGCGUGAAAGCCCGGGGCUUAACCCCGGAAGUGCGCUGGAUACUGGGUGACUAGAGGACGAGAGAGGAAAGCGGAAUUCCUGGUGUAGGGGUGAAAUCCGUAGAUAUCAGGAGGAACACCGGUGGCGAAGGCGGCUUUCUGGCUCGUUUCUGACGCUGAGAUGCGAAAGCGUGGGGAGCAAACAG
This 409-nucleotide ribosomal RNA is filed under the name uncultured bacterium. Its description in RNAcentral is "bacterial SSU rRNA". It matches the Rfam family "Bacterial small subunit ribosomal RNA", at positions 355 to 775 of the family's 1533-position model. The record is from RNAcentral.